Rhododendron vialii is the source of this 1958-nucleotide long non-coding RNA. RefSeq lists it as uncharacterized. Lineage: Eukaryota; Viridiplantae; Streptophyta; Magnoliopsida; Ericales; Ericaceae. The transcript is spliced from 2 exons. The record is from RefSeq and is a predicted model, not a curated record.
UUAUAAGUCGAUACUUUAGACCGUCAAACGACCCGGUUCAGUUUUUGCCUUCAAACGGAAUAAGAAAUCAGAAACCGAUUCCCAUUUAAGCAGUACUCAGGCCUUGCAACGGCUCAUUGUUGCUGAUUGGUAGCCUAGGGUUCAUUCAUGGCGAUCCCGCUCACCUCCUCAGGCAAUGGAGCAAUAGCGAUUUGAACGUGGGUCCAUCAAUAUCCUCUUGCAUAUCUCACAUGUUGUUUCUUCACCCGUUUGUGAGCCACUAUGGGGAAGAGGAUUCAAAGCUAUCACCAACUUCCUGUUAUUUCUGUAAGCCUGAAGUCAAAAGCAAGGGCAAUUUAUUGUAAGCCGAGAAAAUGAUCUAAUAAGGAGAAAGAGGAAAUGAUCUAUUUGCACUGGCUAUAAACUCAUCAUCACAAUAGAAGUUCCUCCUGUUUCUACAAGCUUAUUCAUCGAAGUUUAUGCUUCCUUAGUUUGAAGUAGGACUGCAUAUCAAUUAACUUAGUAUACGAUUCCUUAAGUGCAGUUUGUAUGUAUCAGUGCUGACACAGCAAGCAACAAUAUAAAUGUGCGACAUGGAUAUGGCAAUUUACUGGCAUGACGACACGAUUUUUUUCACAAAAGUAGGGACACACAAUUAUAGGGGCAUGAUGCACAUGAAGUAAUUUUUUUUUAUGUGGAAUCAAUACCAUCGUUGUAGCUGCAGGACCGACUGAGAAUCAUCAUAGUAUACGAGUUGGUCAGAUCUUGUUUUAAUAGAUGGUUUCGCGAGUCCACAAGAAAAAGAUAAACACUUUGGACAGAGGGAAUGGAGGAACUUUUUUCACUUGAUUAAACUUGAUACAAGUUUUAUUUUUGCUAGAACCCCAUCUAUAAUCUAGAUUCCAAUCUAUUUUUUAUGUUACUUUUGAUAUUCCCAAAACAAAAUACUUAAUACUACUAAGAGCAACUCCUAUCUACUCCAGUUUCAUUUGGUAAAAGUUCGGGACGGGAAGCUACUCGCCCUUGGUCAGUAGAACCAACAAGGGGGCAUUUUCAAGUUACUGAUGAGUUGUCAAGGGUAGAUGAUCUUAACUUUUUGACUUUUCAUGCUUAAUACAAACCAGCUGACCAUGGAAUUUUAAAACAUAUCUUUAGAACUUCCAAAACGACAAUUCUUUGAACCCUGUCCUACAUGAAUAACCUAUAUGCCUUACAUCGGAGAUCAAACAUGUACUUGCACAGAUAUAUAGUCAAAGCUUGAGCUUUGACAUUACACAAAAUUCCUAAGUUCAUAUACGUUUCUCUUAACAAUUAGAAAAGGUAGAAAAUCCAAUUUCAAUUAAGAUAACCAUCUCUGUUUAAUGACAUGAUUUUUAGCGUCUAAACUUGGAUUUUAUUUGAACAAUUAAGUAAAUGGAAGCAAUGAAAAUCCCUACUGCGUUUAGUGUCUCAAAUCAAUAGGGAAGGCUGCAAGGUUUAGAAUUUUCAUGUUUGCCUGAAUAAAUUCAAUCUCUUAUUGUUUGGUUUAGGAUUUAGGAUUUGCAGUAUGCAAACAUGAAAGAGUCAGAAUUUGGCCACUCUACGAUUAUAGCAGGGAUUUGUGGGCCUAAGUGAUUGAGACGGCAAGCCAACCAUGAACCAAGCUUAAUUUCAUUCUUUCUAGGACUGCUUAAAGCAAUCAAUUGACUAGCUAAUUGUAAGCAUCAUUCCAUCCUUAUCAAGUUUCCUGCUUCCACGCAAGUUCUCUAUUGGAGAAAUGUAAAAUUCAAAUUGUAUUUUUUUGCCUAUAUUGUUACAUUUGUUUCACAUAGGUUCGGAGAAAAGGAGACUUAGUUGCAGGAUCCCCCUGUUGGGGUGGCUAAUCUACCUCAGAACCUUGCUGUAAAGUCAGAAUCUCCUUAAAAACUUGCUGCUCCCAUCAUGAAAGAGCGUGCUCCCAAUUAUGAUAAUCCUCUCAAGCAUAUAAAUUCCGAAAGAAA